This is a long non-coding RNA of Coregonus clupeaformis (lake whitefish), 173 nucleotides long. RefSeq lists it as uncharacterized. The record is from RefSeq and is a predicted model, not a curated record. NCBI's taxonomy places the organism in Eukaryota, Metazoa, Chordata, Actinopteri, Salmoniformes, Salmonidae. The transcript is spliced from 3 exons.
GCCCCGGACGUCCAGACCUCCCUGCAGGCUAGCAAUGAUGGCGGAGAGCAACGGGGAGCAAAUGAAGCCCCGUCAAAUGGAAACCGAGAGACAAAGUCGGACCAAGAAAGCUCUGAGAGUAACGAUGUCAAGAGCAGUAAGUCCGAGUCCAUCGAGGUGGUGGACUCCCAGAG